GAUGAACGCUGGCUACAGGCUUAACACAUGCAAGUCGAGGGGAAACGACGGGGAAGCUUGCUUCUCCGGGCGUCGACCGGCGCACGGGUGAGUAACGCGUAUCCAACCUGCCUCUGACUGAGGGAUAACCCGUCGCAAGUCGGCCUAAUACCUCAUGGCAUCGUCUGCGGGCUUCCAACGACGAUUAAAGUUUUCAUCGGUCAGGGAUGGGGAUGCGUCUGAUUAGCGUGUUGGCGAGGUAACAGCCCAGCAAGGCUACGAUCAGUAGGGGUUCGGAGAGGAAGGCACACUAGAAUGGAACUGAGACACGGUCCAAACUCCGACGGGGGGCAGCAGUAAGGAAUAUUAGGCAAUGGACGGGAGCCUGAACCAGCCAAGUAGGGUGCAGGAGGACGGCGCUAUGGGUUGUAAACUGCUUUUAUGCGGGGAUAGAGUGAGGGACGAGUCCUUCAUUGCAGGUACCGAAUGAAUAAGGACCGGCUAAUUACGUG
RNAcentral lists this ribosomal RNA (491 nucleotides) under uncultured bacterium. Its description in RNAcentral is "partial 16S ribosomal RNA". It matches the Rfam family "Bacterial small subunit ribosomal RNA", at positions 28 to 507 of the family's 1533-position model. The record is from RNAcentral.